UUGAGAGUUUGAUCCUGGCUCAGGAUGAACGCUGGCGGCGUGCCUAACACAUGCAAGUCGAGCGAUUCUCUUCGGAGAAGAGCGGCGGACGGGUGAGUAACGCGUGGGUAACCUGCCCUGUACACACGGAUAACAUACCGAAAGGUAUGCUAAUACGGGAUGAUAUAUAAGAGUCGCAUGACUUUUAUAUCAAAGAUUUUUCGGUACAGGAUGGACCCGCGUCUGAUUAGCUUGUUGGCGGGGUAACGGCCCACCAAGGCGACGAUCAGUAGCCGACCUGAGAGGGUGAUCGGCCACAUUGGAACUGAGACACGGUCCAAACUCCUACGGGAGGCAGCAGU
RNAcentral lists this ribosomal RNA (341 nucleotides) under Acinetobacter baumannii. Its description in RNAcentral is "bacterial SSU rRNA". It matches the Rfam family "Bacterial small subunit ribosomal RNA", at positions 1 to 355 of the family's 1533-position model. Lineage: Bacteria; Pseudomonadati; Pseudomonadota; Gammaproteobacteria; Moraxellales; Moraxellaceae. The record is from RNAcentral.